AAUCCAUGGUGCGGGCAUUUUUGAAUCAACAUUUUAAACCAUUCCCAUACCUCAGAAAAACUCUCCCUCCAUCUGUCUAAAGACAACUAUUUCUCUUCUUAAUU
Gossypium raimondii (Peruvian cotton) is the source of this 104-nucleotide non-coding RNA. The record is from Rfam. NCBI's taxonomy places the organism in Eukaryota, Viridiplantae, Streptophyta, Magnoliopsida, Malvales, Malvaceae.